GGAGGGAUGGCCGAGUGGUUUAAGGCAGCGGUCUUGAAAACCGCCGUGCGGGAAACUGCACCGGGGGUUCGAAUCCCUCUCCCUCCGCCA
This 90-nucleotide transfer RNA is filed under the name Acidobacteriota bacterium. Its description in RNAcentral is "tRNA-Ser". It matches the Rfam family "tRNA". Rfam says of the family: Transfer RNA (tRNA) molecules are approximately 80 nucleotides in length. Lineage: Bacteria; Pseudomonadati; Acidobacteriota. The record is from RNAcentral.